UUGCUCACUUUGGCAGAUGCCCUGAAACUGAAGCAAUACACAGAAGAUAAACAUGGCCCCUGUGCAAGGAUGACAUGCCGAUUCCUGAGGCAGUCUGUAUUUUA
Onychomys torridus (southern grasshopper mouse) is the source of this 104-nucleotide small nuclear RNA. The record is from RefSeq and is a predicted model, not a curated record. NCBI's taxonomy places the organism in Eukaryota, Metazoa, Chordata, Mammalia, Rodentia, Cricetidae.